Long non-coding RNA from Rhododendron vialii, 799 nucleotides. RefSeq lists it as uncharacterized. The record is from RefSeq and is a predicted model, not a curated record. Lineage: Eukaryota; Viridiplantae; Streptophyta; Magnoliopsida; Ericales; Ericaceae. The transcript has 2 exons.
GUUUUGUGAGAUUUCAUUGUGCUGUGGCCAACCCGUCGGCUCCGACCAACCCAACCUGAAAGGAAUAAUUGGUUUUUCAGACGGUUUUCCCUGCUACACGGUUCGGUUGCAAGUUGGGAAAAUAGCUACCCGACAUGAUCGGGUCGGGUGACGGGUUCGGCCCGAACCGGACCCAACCCGUGUUCACCCCUACUACUAAGCAAGCAAGUUCGACUUGCGACCGAGUGAAAAAGAGCUGCAACUUAAAUUCAGAUUCCCAGCCAACUCGUCUACCACCUUGGUUGGCCAUUACACCUAGUCCAGAUUCCAGAACCUUUCCCCCAUAUAUCUAAGAGAGAUCUCACAUUCAUAAACCGGCCUCAGUUUUUACUGGUAUAUCCCAAAAUCUAGGUGUUUCUUACUAUACCAUAUUUGUUACUUCAACCCGAAAUCUCUUUUCCACUAAACAAAUUAUUUGCCAUUGUAGACACAUGUUCUUUACGCAUGAUAUUUACACAAAUCUUCAACGAGAUCUCGUAAUUAUAGUUGUAUUGUCAUUUCAGAAGAUAAUAGGAGAAUCGAAUCUAAUUCAAUGGUACGUGAAAUACAGAUGUAGCAAGAUGGGUCAAACAGAGGAGAGCAACAUAGAUCCAACUCAAUACUAUUAGUUGAAGGCGGCUACAGGUUUCAGUUUCCUCUUGCUUGCACUGUCAACGCUCUAAUACCAAGCAAAUGGACUCCCAAGUGUGCAAAGCGGUUCAGGUAAAGACACAAGCAUGACAAGCCCUACUGAUAAUAUUAUUCAAAUGUAAUGGAGGAA